CCUACGGGGUGCAGCAGUGGGGAAUAUUGGACAAUGGGCGAAAGCCUGAUCCAGCCAUGCCGCGUGUGUGAAGAAGGCCUUCGGGUUGUAAAGCACUUUCAGUGGGGAAGAAAGCCUUGGGGCUAAUACCCUCGAGGAAGGACAUCACCCACAGAAGAAGCACCGGCUAACUCCGUGCCAGCAGCCGCGGUAAUACGGAGGGUGCGAGCGUUAAUCGGAAUUACUGGGCGUAAAGCGCGCGUAGGCGGUCUGAUAAGCCGGUUGUGAAAGCCCCGGGCUCAACCUGGGAACGGCAUCCGGAACUGUCAGGCUAGAGUGCAGGAGAGGAAGGUAGAAUUCCCGGUGUAGCGGUGAAAUGCGUAGAGAUCGGGAGGAAUACCAGUGGCGAAGGCGACCUUCUGGACUGACACUGACGCUGAGGUGCGAAAGCGUGGGUAGCAAACAGGAUUAGAUACCCGUGUAGUC
This 465-nucleotide ribosomal RNA is filed under the name Vreelandella stevensii. RNAcentral describes it as "partial 16S ribosomal RNA". It matches the Rfam family "Bacterial small subunit ribosomal RNA", at positions 338 to 795 of the family's 1533-position model. Lineage: Bacteria; Pseudomonadati; Pseudomonadota; Gammaproteobacteria; Oceanospirillales; Halomonadaceae. The record is from RNAcentral.